Molecule: microRNA, 23 nt
Filed under: Pristionchus pacificus
Lineage: Eukaryota; Metazoa; Nematoda; Chromadorea; Rhabditida; Neodiplogasteridae
Description: ppc-miR-8256-3p
Source: miRBase by way of RNAcentral
UGCUUUCCUUUCGGUGGCUGGGG